CCCCUGGUGGUCCAGUGGCUAAGACUCUGAGCUCCCAAUGCAGGGGCUCUGGGUUCAAUCCCUGGUCAGGGAA
This 73-nucleotide transfer RNA is filed under the name Bos taurus (domestic cattle). It matches the Rfam family "tRNA". From Rfam's summary of the family: Transfer RNA (tRNA) molecules are approximately 80 nucleotides in length. Their secondary structure includes four short double-helical elements and three loops (D, anti-codon, and T loops). RNAcentral also lists the same sequence under 3 other names. The record is from Rfam by way of RNAcentral. Lineage: Eukaryota; Metazoa; Chordata; Mammalia; Artiodactyla; Bovidae.